CACGGGGGGAGCAAACGUUGUUCGGAAUCACUGGGCGUAAAGGGCGCGUAGGCGGCCCCGUAAGUGGUGUGUGAAAUGCCCUGGCUCAACCAGGGAAUAGCGCUCCAAACUGCAGGGCUUGAGGGCAGUAGAGGAAGCUGGAAUUCCAGGUGUAGCGGUGAAAUGCGUAGAUAUCUGGAGGAACACCGUUGGCGAAGGCGAGCUUCUGGGCUGUCCCUGACGCUGAGGAGCGAAAGCUGGGGGAGCAAACAGG
RNAcentral lists this ribosomal RNA (253 nucleotides) under uncultured bacterium. Its description in RNAcentral is "partial 16S ribosomal RNA". It matches the Rfam family "Bacterial small subunit ribosomal RNA", at positions 524 to 776 of the family's 1533-position model. The record is from RNAcentral.